This 846-nucleotide ribosomal RNA is filed under the name Triticum aestivum (bread wheat). Its description in RNAcentral is "partial small subunit ribosomal RNA". The record is from RNAcentral. Lineage: Eukaryota; Viridiplantae; Streptophyta; Magnoliopsida; Poales; Poaceae.
AUGGCAGUGGAAAGGCAAAUAAAGAGAAUUUCUCAUUUUAUUUGCGAAUGUUUUUUCAUGACGGCAAGGGUACUUAACUUGGGAGUGAUGAAAGCUGUGGCAGAUCUUAAACAUAUCUCUCGGGAACUCGCAAGGUGUGAAGAUGAUUUGGAAGCAAACAACGCAAUCAGAGAUCAAGGAGGAAGUUCACCACAGCUUGAGCAAGAUAUAACAUGCUUGGAGAAGAUAGUUGCAGCCUUAUCCCAAGAACAGUUCUGCUAUGAAUCUCAGAUACUAAGGGACAGUGCUUUUCUUCAGCGUGCACUAUCUUUCUACAGAUUAAUGAUAUUGUGGUCAGUAGGCUUAGUUGGGGGAUUUAAGAUGCCUUCGCCAUCAGAAUGGCCCAUGGAAUUUUCUUGCAUACCGGAGCAUUUUCUUGAUGAUGCAACGGAUUUACUUGCUCUAACCUCUAGAAUUCCAAAAGCUCCGGAGGGCUUCCCUUUGGAUGAUUUUCUCAAUUUCAACAUCAUGUUCAUGGCGAGCUCUUCUUACAUUAAAAAUCCUUACCUGAAAGCAAAGAUGGUUGAAGUUUUGAAAAGCUGGAUGCUACAAAGAAGCAGCUUGAAAUCCACAGCCUCGUUAUUUGAGGGGCACCAACUAUGUCUCGAUUAUCUUGUCAAGAAUCUUCUAAAGCUUUGUGUGGAUAUUGAAUUCAAUGGCUCCCAUACACAAUUCUUCGACACAUUUAAUAUUCGACACAAGAUUGCUGAGCUUCUUGAGUAUUUAUGGGAUGUUCCUUGGAGACAAAUGGCUAAAGACAGUCCCUGGUGUAGUUGUUUUAGAGGUGAACCUUGCCGACCACAAUGA